This is a non-coding RNA of Drosophila melanogaster (fruit fly), 292 nucleotides long. Lineage: Eukaryota; Metazoa; Arthropoda; Insecta; Diptera; Drosophilidae. The record is from Ensembl.
GAUCUUCCAAUUUGAUUAAGGUGCUAUUAAGUUCGAUCUUAUCUUACGGUGCUAUGUACAGUGAAAUACGCUUGGUUAGUUUAAGUUUCCUUAACUUCCCCCUCUCGAAUCCCCAAAAUUCCCUCGACACUCUGACAAUCCUUAGCUGCCCAAAAACAUAAUCCAUUAUUGUACUAAAAGUCUCUAGGAAUCCAUUGUACGCUAACGUUUAACUAAAUUAUGAAUAACUACGAGUAUUUCCAUUAAGUCUACUCUAAUUAGUUUCUCUUCCAUCGCAAAAAAUACGAAAAAU